RNAcentral lists this ribosomal RNA (759 nucleotides) under Haemophilus influenzae. Its description in RNAcentral is "bacterial SSU rRNA". It matches the Rfam family "Bacterial small subunit ribosomal RNA", at positions 28 to 776 of the family's 1533-position model. Lineage: Bacteria; Pseudomonadati; Pseudomonadota; Gammaproteobacteria; Pasteurellales; Pasteurellaceae. The record is from RNAcentral.
AUUGAACGCUGGCGGCAGGCUUAACACAUGCAAGUCGAACGGUAGCAGGAGAAAGCUUGCUUUCUUGCUGACGAGUGGCGGACGGGUGAGUAAUGCUUGGGAAUCUGGCUUAUGGAGGGGGAUAACUACGGGAAACUGUAGCUAAUACCGCGUAGUAUCGAGAGAUGAAAGUGCGGGACCGUAAGGCCGCAUGCCAUGAGAUGAGCCCAAGUGGGAUUAGGUAGUUGGUGGGGUAAAGGCCUACCAAGCCUGCGAUCUCUAGCUGGUCUGAGAGGAUGGCCAGCCACACUGGAACUGAGACACGGUCCAGACUCCUACGGGAGGCAGCAGUGGGGAAUAUUGCGCAAUGGGGGGAACCCUGACGCAGCCAUGCCGCGUGAAUGAAGAAGGCCUUCGGGUUGUAAAGUUCUUUCGGUAUUGAGGAAGGUUGAUGUGUUAAUAGUACAUCAAAUUGACGUUAAAUACAGAAGAAGCACCGGCUAACUCCGUGCCAGCAGCCGCGGUAAUACGGAGGGUGCGAGCGUUAAUCGGAAUAACUGGGCGUAAAGGGCACGCAGGCGGUUAUUUAAGUGAGGUGUGAAAGCCCCGGGCUUAACCUGGGAAUUGCAUUUCAGACUGGGUAACUAGAGUACUUUAGGGAGGGGUAGAAUUCCACGUGUAGCGGUGAAAUGCGUAGAGAUGUGGAGGAAUACCGAAGGCGAAGGCAGCCCCUUGGGAAUGUACUGACGCUCAUGUGCGAAAGCGUGGGGAGCAAACAGG